Molecule: long non-coding RNA, 840 nt
Organism: Passer domesticus (house sparrow)
Lineage: Eukaryota; Metazoa; Chordata; Aves; Passeriformes; Passeridae
Exons: 3
Source: RefSeq, a predicted model, not a curated record
AUUUCAGGAGGUGGUCAGUUUAGCAGGUGGUCAUUUCAGCAGUUGACUGUUGAAGCUGUUGACCAUUGCAGGUGGCUCUGCUCAUUUCAGGAGUUGGUUAUUUCAGGAAAAAGGGGCUUCUGCUCACAUCUGGAGCACGAGGCAGGUGUAGGCUCACAUGUGGGUGAAAUCCCAGAGGAAAGAGCAACUCCUCUCAGGUAAAUCCCAGUGAGGAUGUGGAGGGAGCCAAAAAAAAUGGCAAUUCCUGGGGAGGAGAGGAAUCAAAACAAUGAGCCAACAAAAGGAGCUUGGUCAGACACAAUCUUCUAAGAAGAACGAAGAAUUUCACUUUGAAGGGAUGGUCACCAGCCAGGUUUCAUUCUGGCAGCAUUGAAGGAGCUUUCGGAGGUAUCACAAUUAAUUUCAGCUGGCGGGGAGCCGGGAGGGCUCCACAAAGGUCGCGGCAGCCAGGAGGAUGCUCGGGCUCCUUGGGACAGGUGACAUUCAGCACCUGGGAGUGCUGCCUUCAGCCAGCCGAGCGCAGGGCUGCAAUUCCUGCCCUGUGCCGGGACCAGCCUCAUCCUGCCCUCCUCCCCUGCCCGCUGCGGCCCCCGGGGCUUUGAGUUCAGAUUUUCCUGCCCAUAAAUCCGCCCUCAGCAGCAACUGUGCCACACGUGUCCCAGGACAGGAAUUUUUUCUCCAUUUUUAGUGCCGGUGUGAAGCUAAAUUAUGGGGGUUGUCAUUGUCAGCACAAGCCACCGUCCCCAUCCUGCCUGGAAGCAGAGCAGAGGGGCCUGGGGCUGGCAGGGGGGAGCAGAGGUGGGGCAGCUCCUGUCUGCUGGGAAUUGCAGGGUUUGGGGG